Molecule: ribosomal RNA, 468 nt
Filed under: uncultured bacterium
Lineage: Bacteria
Description: partial 16S ribosomal RNA
Rfam family: Bacterial small subunit ribosomal RNA
Source: RNAcentral
GACGAACGCUGGCGGCGUGCUUAACACAUGCAAGUCGAACGGAAAGGCCCUGCUUUUGUGGGGUGCUCGAGUGGCGAACGGGUGAGUAACACGUGAGUAUACCGCCCUUGACUUUGGGAUAACUUCAGGAAACUGGGGAUAAUACCGGAUAGGAGCUCCUGCUGCAUGGUGGGGGUUGGAAAGUUUCGGCGGUUGGGGAUGGACUCGCGGCUUAUCAGCUUGUUGGUGGGGUAGUGGCUUACCAAGGCUUUGACGGGUAGCCGGCCUGAGAGGGUGACCGGCCACAUUGGGACUGAGAUACGGCCCAGACGCCUACGGGAGGCAGCAGUGGGGAAUAUUGCACAAUGGGCGGAAGCCUGAUGCAGCAACGCCGCGUGCGGGAUGACGGCCUUCGGGUUGUAAACCGCUUUCGCCUGUGACGAAGCGUGAGUGACGGUAAUGGGUAAAGAAGCACCGGCUAACUACGUG